RNAcentral lists this ribosomal RNA (1444 nucleotides) under uncultured organism. RNAcentral describes it as "SSU rRNA". It matches the Rfam family "Bacterial small subunit ribosomal RNA". The record is from RNAcentral.
CGCUAGCUACAGGCUUAACACAUGCAAGUCGAGGGGCAGCAUUUUAGUUUGCUUGCAAACUGAAGAUGGCGACCGGCGCACGGGUGAGUAACACGUAUCCAACCUGCCGAUAACUCCGGAAUAGCCUUUCGAAAGAAAGAUUAAUACCGGAUAGUAUACGAAUAUCGCAUGGUAUUUUUAUUAAAGAAUUUCGGUUAUCGAUGGGGAUGCGUUCCAUUAGUUUGUUGGCGGGGUAACGGCCCACCAAGACUACGAUGGAUAGGGGUUCUGAGAGGAAGGUCCCCCACAUUGGAACUGAGACACGGUCCAAACUCCUACGGGAGGCAGCAGUGAGGAAUAUUGGUCAAUGGGCGAGAGCCUGAACCAGCCAAGUAGCGUGAAGGAUGAAGGCUCUAUGGGUCGUAAACUUCUUUUAUAUGGGAAUAAAGUUUUCCACGUGUGGAAUUUUGUAUGUACCAUAUGAAUAAGGAUCGGCUAACUCCGUGCCAGCAGCCGCGGUAAUACGGAGGAUCCGAGCGUUAUCCGGAUUUAUUGGGUUUAAAGGGAGCGUAGGUGGAUUGUUAAGUCAGUUGUGAAAGUUUGCGGCUCAACCGUAAAAUUGCAGUUGAAACUGGCAGUCUUGAGUACAGUAGAGGUGGGCGGAAUUCGUGGUGUAGCGGUGAAAUGCUUAGAUAUCACGAAGAACUCCGAUUGCGAAGGCAGCUCACUAGACUGUCACUGACACUGAUGCUCGAAAGUGUGGGUAUCAAACAGGAUUAGAUACCCUGGUAGUCCACACAGUAAACGAUGAAUACUCGCUGUUUGCGAUAUACAGUAAGCGGCCAAGCGAAAGCAUUAAGUAUUCCACCUGGGGAGUACGCCGGCAACGGUGAAACUCAAAGGAAUUGACGGGGGCCCGCACAAGCGGAGGAACAUGUGGUUUAAUUCGAUGAUACGCGAGGAACCUUACCCGGGCUUAAAUUGCAACAGAAUAUAUUGGAAACAGUAUAGCCGUAAGGCUGUUGUGAAGGUGCUGCAUGGUUGUCGUCAGCUCGUGCCGUGAGGUGUCGGCUUAAGUGCCAUAACGAGCGCAACCCUUAUCUUUAGUUACUAACAGGUGAUGCUGAGGACUCUAGAGAGACUGCCGUCGUAAGAUGUGAGGAAGGUGGGGAUGACGUCAAAUCAGCACGGCCCUUACGUCCGGGGCUACACACGUGUUACAAUGGGGGGUACAGAAGGCGGCUACCUGGUGACAGGAUGCUAAUCCCAAAAACCUCUCUCAGUUCGGAUCGAAGUCUGCAACCCGACUUCGUGAAGCUGGAUUCGCUAGUAAUCGCGCAUCAGCCAUGGCGCGGUGAAUACGUUCCCGGGCCUUGUACACACCGCCCGUCAAGCCAUGAAAGCCGGGGGUACCUGAAGUACGUAACCGCAAGGAGCGUCCUAGGGUAAAACUGGUAAUUGGGGC